RNAcentral lists this long non-coding RNA (28392 nucleotides) under Eucalyptus grandis. RNAcentral describes it as "long non-coding RNA (EGRA_LNC005995)". Lineage: Eukaryota; Viridiplantae; Streptophyta; Magnoliopsida; Myrtales; Myrtaceae. The record is from RNAcentral.
AAAACUAUGACGUCGAAAGCCAAAACACCCGAACCCAAAAACCGCUUCAAGGCAAUCAGCAUGCCGCCGAACGAAACAUGGAGAACAAGUCUCCGACAACGGAAAAGCAGAGGCAACGUGCAGAGGACACUCACGUCAACCCUCGAAGCGACCCCAACAGACUCGAGUAACACGCGUUUCACACGCCCGAGAGCAAGUCCAGGCUCAUCGCCACAGGUGACAAAAAGGGCGGCGGGCCCGUCGCGGGAAGGAUGAUACCUGAAGACUGGGAACGGAAGGCGCUGGAGCUGGGGCCGGGCACCAUCCAAACGUCGGGGAGGUUCGGGCCGAGCAGCUUCAAAUUCGAAGAAAGCGAAGGCGAAGAAGGCGAUGAUGGAGACGUCGACGAGUGGAGGGUCUUCCUUCCCAGCGACCGCCGGCUCGCCGCCCACAGGCCUCGCAUUGUGCGUGCUCUAGGAUGGGCGUCGCCGGCCGGCUCGCUCAACCACUGAAUGCUUCGGAUAACUUGGGAUGGGCGUCGCAGGUUCUUCUUUGCAAUUUCUAAAGUUCCAACCUUUAUGACGGGGACCUCCAGAUCCUGAAGGAAGUCGGCAAUUUCUAGCUCCGUCCUUUUCCCAGAAAAAUCCCACAAAAAAUCUCAAAACCCUUUUUCAUGAACACCAUUAUUCUAAACUUUUUUUUCGACUGACGGAUAUUCCGAACUUGCAUCGAUGAUCGAAAAAUGCUUUCUAUCCAUCUGGCCAUUUGAAAUCCGGCGUGGCAGCUCGUGUUAGGGCUGAGCGCGGUUCCCAGGUUACCCGGGAACCGGAACCGAACCGGAGGAGGGUCCUCCGGUUCCCGGUUCCAAGGGGGACCGGUUCCGGUUCUGGUUCCAAUUCCUUUUUUCUAGGAACCGGAACCGGAAUCGGAACCGGUCUCGGAACCGGAACCGGAACUGGUUUCGGAACCGGAACCGGAACCAGUUACUUAGGGCAGAAAAAGCUCGACCUUGGAUGUUCUAGUGACUUGUAUGUGAUGUUCUAGUUGAAUUUUGGCUUCGGCCUCUAAAUGAAAGUUGUAAAUGACUUCUUUGAGUAUAACAUACUCAAAUUUGGGACAAAACAAACAAGUAUAAGUGGGUGAAAUCGUUAUUCUUUGGAAAGACUGGAUCUGGAGAUUUUGGGACCGACCCUUGAUGAAUGCAUGGACUGUAAGGCAACCUUUUUGUCAAAAUUUCACUUCGGUUUCUUAACAAAAGUUGUAAAGGACAUCCUGAGGUACAAUAUAUAAAACAUUUAUAGAAAAAAAACAAGAAUAGGUAGGUGAAAUCGUGGUCCUUUGGAGAUGGUUAGAUCUGAAAUUACGGUAUAACGAACAGGGAUUUUAACCGUCCAUAUUUAAUUAUCUAGGAUGAAUUUGACUUCGAUGUUUUCAUGAAGUAUCUACCUUAUGUUCUUGGCUAUCACAUAGUCGAAUUUCAUAAUUUUUUAAGGUCAUUUGGGUAUUUAAUCGGAAAUGUUUCUAAAACUGUGUAAUCUGAUGUGUUCGGAGUUGCAAUGCGUGGACUAUAUCAUUUUUUAUGAGGUUCUUUUGGAAAUGUGUUCCGCAUGAAAUAUCUCUCUUCAUGUCUUCCCUACAACAUAUUUAAAUUUCGUAAUUUUUUUAGUUCAUUUGCCUAUUUAACCAAAAAUGUUUCAAAAACUGUGCAAGUAGAGAAUAGGAAAAGUAAAUCGAUUUUAUCUUUUAAUCCACAACGAAUUGGACUACGAUUUCUUCAUGAAACUUGUACCUCUAGGUCUUAAAUACAACGUGUCCAAAUUUCAGAAUUUUCUGAUUUCAUUUAAGGGUUUAAUCAAAAUUGUUUUCAAAACUUGUACCUCUAGAAAUUCUUGUUCUAGUGGUGUUUUAUUUCUACUUUCUAGUUUGCUAUUUGUUUUGAAAUUUCUAAUUAUAUUCUAUUAUUGUUGUGCAGUGUGAAGUUAAUGUAUCAAGAUAACAUGUCAAUGGGAAGUUACCGUGUAGUAUACGCGUACAUUAUAGUUUUUUUUGGUAACGUGCGCAUACGUUAUAUUUUUUUUUGGUAACGUGCGCAUAUGUUAUAGUUUUUUUUUUUGGUAACGUGUGUAUACGUUAUAGUUUUUUUGGUAAUGUGGGCGUACGUUAUAUUUUUUUGGGAUAACGUGCGCAUAUGUUAUAAUUCAAAUCUGAAAAUAACCAAAAAAAAAAAAGAAAAGGAACCUGUUGGAACCUGAAACCGACCCUGGAACCUGUGACAGGGUAGGUUCCAGGUUCUCGGUUCCCACGAGUAGGUUCCAGGUUCCUCAUUUUGAGGAACCUGUACCCGAGGGUAGGUUCCAGGUUCCGAACGGAACCGAACCGGAACCUGGAACCGCUCACCCCUAGCUCGUGUGACUAUAUGUGUGUGUUCGUUACCGUCUCAAAUUCGUUAAUUUGAUACUAUCCAGAAAUAUUAUCAUGUCAGACUUUAACAAUUACCAUAAACAAAGUCUAACAAAAGGUUUUAUUGGGUAAAUGGUACAAGCUUAAGAUUAUUGAUGAGACAAAAUAAAAAUUAGAUAUUAAUGUCCUUCGAGAAAAAUGUAUAGGAUUUUUUGUGAGCAAUUUACUAAUUUUAAGCAUCUCAAUCAGGGACGAGGUAGAUGCCGUUGCACAGUAAUGACUCUGGGGCAGUUUAAGGAAGAUGAACUGGAAACCAGAAAUAAACAUGCGUGAGGUUUUUCUUCUGUUGAAAGUCACCAGUAGUUUGACUCUGAAAGGCCCAAUAUAUGCAUGGUUAGAAUUCCUUCCAUAGAUGCAGAAGCUCAUCCGACCAGAAGGCCACUGCACCGGAAACACGUCCGCGAUUCAAUAACUUUUUCUCUCUGUUUGUCGAUGACCGUCGCUACAAUGUCAAAAUUUUUCAUUAAACCAGAGGCUUCUGAGCUAUGAAAAACCAUACUUCUAAGUUUGGAGAGAGGGAGAGAGAGUUCAUGUGGAGGAAAUCUAAAACUUGAACAGCUUAUGGUGUACUUUCAACACUAGUCGACAUGUCAAUGAUAUUCUAGUGCCGGUCCUAUGAAUACAUUUGCCAUUGCCACUGCUCACAGCUUCAUCUCCUUCUUCCGAAACUGAUGGCGGCUGAGGCCCGACAGCUUCACAUUCGUUCACGGCCUGGACAUGAGAAAAGGAAAUCAUAAGACUAAACUGGCAUAUACCAUUUUACUGCCGAAUCAGUACAGCUGUAAAAUGGUACUUUGGACAUUUUCUUAACGGAUAGAAAGUAUAUCCACUACUAAAUCCCAUAUCUGUGGUCAAGUGACACACCCUGGCUAAUAAUCUUACCUCGUCAUACUGAUGUAUCGAACUAUCUCUUAUGCCGUGUAGAUAACCUGCAGUGUAGGUAUACAUUGUCAGAUUUUUCAGCAAGGAAGCAAGAUGAGAAAAUUAAACACACAAUAACAAUUGUAUCAAUUAGGCACUCACUGGAGUAUGCAUCAUCCUUAAAUAUCAACAAACUGCGAGGCAUCAACACAACAGAAAAGGGAUGAUGGUUAUUCAACCAUUUGUCAGUCCCCGAGUCAAAAGCCCCAUUAAGCUCGUUAUCCUCACAACCACCACCAGAUGUAUCAGGGGACGUCCUCAAACUGGGAUGAGGGACAAAGUACAUUGUUGUAAGGCCUACUAAAGGGUCAGAAAAAGGCCAUGUUGUAGGCUCAAGUGCAGGGACAGGGAUUGGAACGGGCAAAACAGUAACAACAACUGAGUCCACCGUUGAGCAAACGAGAAAAAAAUAUCCUGUAAAUUGUAUAUCGCUGUAUUUGUCUUUUAUGAGCUGAAAUUUAAAUUUGUUAUGUGUUUCUUAGGUAAGAAGACGAGCAACUACACAAGUUGCAGAGGUUGUUCCCCCAAUUGUUGUUGUUGAAAAUGAUACACCACAACGAACAAGAGGAGCUCUUGGAAAAAAAUUAAAGUAAUAUGGUUAUGGGAUUUACACAAAUGAACAUACUGGAAUGACUAUUUUGAAUGUAAGAUUUGUAGGCCUCAUGCAUUUAAUUUGUUGUACUUCAAUUCAUUUGGUUGACAAUAUCGCUAUAUUCUUGUAGCCUGGGAGAAUUUCAGAGAUACUUCUCUCUCAAGGUGGGCCAACUCAAGAAUCAAGGACGCAACCAAAGAAGAGUGCUCCAAAAAAGAAGACAGCGAGUAUAGCUGUAAAACAGCUAUCCAAAAAGAACCCAACACUAAUUCCAUCUCCACCAAUGAUUGUGAGCAAUAGUGAUGAUAUAGACCAACACAUGAUACAUGCUUGAACAAAAAUAGCCAUUGUCAAGAACAAUGAAAAUGAGGUGAUAGAAAGCCCAGUUAAAGGACUUGAACAUCUAAUUCGAAAGAGUGCUCGGAUUAUGAAUCAAUUCGAAGCUCCAAUAGGAAAAUGAGAUCAGGGUGUUAUCCAUAUUGAUUGAUGAGAGGGUGCUAGAUAUAGUCUCUUUUUAUGUAGUGCUGGACAUAGUCUCUUUUCAUGUUUUUUUUUAGAAGGGUGCUGGAUAUUAUAUCAUUGAUGGUAGUUGCUGCCUGCAUAUUGUCAUUUUUUUUUUUUAAAGAUGGUGCUGAACCUUCAGUGAUUGGGGAGUCAAGUUAGACAUGUUUUUCUUUUGUAAACAAUCAAUCAAUGGCAAUAGCAAUAGCUGUUUCCAUUUUUGUUAUUUUCUCUUGUGUUGGUUUCGGCUAGUAAUGUUAGCAAGACAAUUAUCAGUUAUGUUGUAUUUUUUUUGCUGUUGGUGCAAUGUUCUUAUGGGGUUAAUAUUAUUUUUAGAUGUGUGCAUAUACUGUUGCUGGUUGGAGUUGUGAAUGCUAAUGAAUUUGUGGGGUUCUGAUUGUGUGUGCUGGUGCAAGAACAAUAUGCAAUUUUGAAUGCUAGUGCAUCUUGUUGCGUCAACACUUUUAUGGGCUAGUGCAAGAAGAUGCACCAGCAACCCAACUAGUGCAACAAAAUGCAAGAUGCAGCACGAUUGGUGCAAGUCAAGUGACAUUUGAAACUAAUAUAUUCUUUUUUAAAAAACUUAUGCAACACAAGUGAUCACUUUGUAAUCGUGAUUGUCACUUAAAUAAUCACUUUUAUAAAUAAAUAAAAAAAAUUGGCACUCAAGCGAUCACUAUUUACAACUUAUGGCAUUGAAAUGAUCAAUUGUGAAUUUUCCACCAUCCCUUAAUUUCGCCAUGGUUUACAGUUGCAGCAAACCAGCAAAUCGGCAAACCAGCAAACCAGCAAACCAUUACCAAAUAAAAAAUACAGCAAACUAUUAUAUCUAAAGCAAAAACUAACCAAAACAAAUAUUGACAAUACACAACUGAAUAAUAAAACUUUUAAGUGCUCACAACUAAUGCAUUCCAAAAGCACCUUCCAUUUUGCCAUGCUUUGCAGUUGCAGCAAACCAGCAAACCAUUACCAAAUAAAAAAUGCAGCAAACCAUUAUAUUUGAAAUAAAAACUAAUCAAAAUAAACAUUGACAAUACACAACUAAAUAAUAAAACUUUUAAGUACUCACAACUAAUGCAUUCCAACUACAACCUUCCAUUUUUACCAUAGAUUAAAACAAAACUUUCUGCUCCAUACAAAAAUUGCAGCAAAGCAAAAACACAUUUUACUUCCAUUUCCACAUCUUCGACUAUGGUAGACAUACAAACUUCUUAUCAUUACUUCACUACACAUUUGAAUAAAUUACACAAGAGAAUAACAACACAAUCAACAUUUGAUAAAAGUUUCUUUCAAUUUUCAGCCUUGAAACCUCCCUCUUCAAAUGGUCGACCAGAGAUAUUAAACACUUCAUUUGAGCUUGCAUUAAGUCAACAUCCUCCAACUCGUCCAUUAAUGUAGGUGGAGGUUGAUGUCGGCCUUCAAGUAACUCCAAGAUCACAUAUGUCACUCGAUCAGAGAAUUUCCUAUCAACCCAUUUGAAAUAUUUGCACUUCGAGCCUUCUUUAUAUCUGUCGUACAUAUGGAAUCAUCUCCUGGGAUUCAACUGAAUCCAAGAUGUUUUUCUCAGACUCGAUAACCCACAAUAACAGUAACAAUCACCAUCUAAUUCGCUUUUUUUUUUAUUAUAUAUAGGAAUGUGGGCCGCUGCUAAAGCUUCUGCCAUCCAUUUGCAAGAGCGAGCUGAUAAUUUUGGAAGAAAAUCAAAGUAUGCACUCGAAUUAGUUGAAUUAGGGAUUUAGGGUUUUCAACUUUUGGUUCUGGCCGAAUUUGGGGAUUUUGGGUUUCUUAUUUAGGGGAAAGGACGUUAAAUGGCAUCGUUUUGUUGUUUGUAUGAUGAUUGUAUUCUCUGGCGAUCCACGUCGGCUUCAAAAAUUAAUAAAAAACUGUCACGUUGGAUUUCCGGCCAACCAGAUUGGCAUUGACACUGAAAUGAUUGUUUUUCAAAAAUUUUUGUACUUAAGUGAUCCAACAAAAAACUUUUGGUACCAAAGUGAGCACCGUAUACAACUUUUGACACUGAUAAUGUACUUCCCUCAAUAAUAAUGAUAGUAUUCCGAUUAUUAAGCAAUGAGGAUAAUAUAAUCAAAGCACAUACCUCAUCUUCAAAGUCAAUCUCAACUUAACUUAAUUGAUUAACGAUUACAUUGAAUUCAUUAAUAUGAUUUGCAAUUGAUACACCUUCACUCAUCUUCAAGUUAAAUAGACGUUGCAUCAAACAAAACCUUAUUGAUCGCAGAGGGCUUCUCGUACAUAUCCAAUAUGGCUUUCAUCAAACCUGCAAUGGCCUUCUUCUUCAUGAUGUUCAAUGCGAUGUUAUGAGCCAACGUUAGUUGAAUAACACCCAUAGCUUGUCUAUCCAAUAGAUCCUAGUCAGUUUACUUCCUCGUCUCUGGAUUUACGUGGUUCAGUUGAAAUGACCUACAUCCACAGGAUGAGUAGCAACGAAUUCCACUAUAAAUCAAGCGAUAAAUGGAAAUUACAAUCACAUUCAAGUCACUCAAACACUCACAGUAUUUCCCAAGUCCUAAUUACAUCAAUAUCUCACGCAAUGUUUAACCUCACAAUUCCUCACAAAAUAGUCUCUUAAUCUCAUGAAGGAAUCAUACACAAAUUCUUGCCUCAAGAAUUUAAUCGACUUCAACACAUAAAAAUCUCUCGGUGUAAUUGCAUGACAAAACCAACACCAAGCACUCAUGUGAACAUCGGCGCUUUAAAACUCUUUAUGUCAAUUACUUCAGUGACCCUUGGAUAUCUUCAGUGUGUAAUUCACAAGCAGAAGCUCCCAUUUGAUGCACUUCAUGAAGAACAUCCUCUUCUUAUAUAUAGAGAAGAAUUAAAUUCAAAAUAGGAAACCUUCUCCAACUAAGAAAACCAUUCAAUUAGAAAAUCUAUACAAAAUAGGAAACUUUCUUUUUCGGACUCAAACUCAAGACAUAUAUUUAACAUGGACUAUCUUUAGACUUGACUAUUAAUGCGAUAGCCUGGUCCACUGCAUCAAAGAUAAUUUCACAGUAUUUUGUAAUAAUGAUAUGUGUGACAUCCUGAAAUUCGACCUUAUUUCGAUAAAAUGAAAAGUGCAUAUCGUCGACGCGCCUAUGGUCCUUUUUCUCUGAGCUGAUCACUCACGAGUUAACUAACCUAUUGGGUGAAGCCGUUAAGGGAUAUAUCCGCGGUAAAAUCCCUAAAAGCUACCUAAUUUGUUGGAUUGGACUAAAUCAUGCCCGGUCAAUUUUAAUCAUGGAAUUUGAUUUGGUUUCGGGAAUCAAAUAUUUGAGCGUGUCACAAUUCAAAUUUUUGAACCUUGUCUCAUCGUCCGUCAAAUUAUUGACGAGUCCGAAAUUUCAAUAAAAAAAUUAUUGGAGGAAAAAUCGAAGACCGAAAGAAAUAAGAAAGGGAAAGAGAAAAGAAAAAUAAAAUAAGAGCAAGGAUAUUAUUUUAUUUUGUUUUUCUCUCUCUUCCUCUUCUCUCUUUCUUCUCUCUCUUUUCUCUCUCCUCUCCCCUCCCCUCCCCUCGUGCGGAUUUUUCCCCCACCGAUCGCCCCUUCUGCUGUCUUCCACUUUGUCUUCUCUCUUUCUUUUUUAUUUUUUUGACCAGUCAAAACCCUUCUCUCUCCUCUCUCUUCUCUCUUCUCCCCCAUUCCCUUAUGACCAACUUCUUCUUCUUCGUUCUUCCUUGUGCGAACCAGACCAAAACCAGCAAAGAAGAACAGCAGCUCGCCGAGGACCGUCGCCGCCCGUCCCACCGCCGCACCGGAGCCGGACCGCCCGCCCGCCCGCCACUCGCUGCCGUGUGCCGCCAGCCUCGCUCCUUGCGCGACCCAGCCCUGUUCGCCCCUGCUCACCGCCGUCCCGACCCUCCGGCGUCCCCCUCACCUUCCGUCGGCCUCCCCUUGCCGCCCUAGCCGCCGGAUUAGCUCCGGCAAGCCUUGAACCGCAACCCACGAAGUGGGUUUCCAGCGGCUUUGGGCCCGCUUUUGGGCCGUUUCCGAGCCCCGAACCCGAGCCGUGCUUUGGGAAGAAUCCCUGAUUAGUUGUCUAAUUAUGCUUAAUGUUGGUUUAUUUUUAAUUAAUUAUGUUUAUGCUGUUAGAUUAGAAUAAAUUAGCAAUUAUUAGUCAAAUGUAAUGCGAUUUAGAUAAAUUGAUUGCGCAAUUAGCAAGUAAACGUGGUCUACUAAUUAUUGGAAGUGUCUCGGGAUUUUUCCCGACCCUUAGUGGGCUCCAAUUAGGCUUUUCGGGCCUAAGUGGAAUUUUUGGUAUUUAAAUAUUAAUUUUCGGAAUUAAAUUAAAUAAUUAUUUAUUUUUCGAAAAUUCAACUGAGAUGGUCCGGAACUGGAAAAUUAUGCUGAUGACCGUGGUGGAGUCCGUUUGUUUAAUCGGGCUUUAUUUUGAGCUAAAUUGAAUUUUUAAUAUUAAUUAUUUAAUUUUUGAAAUUAAUUAAUUAAUUAUUUAUUUUCCAAAAAUUCAAUUGAGAUGGCUAGAGACCGGAAAAUUAUGCUGAUGACCAUGGUGAAGUCCGUUUAUUUAAUUGAGUUUUAUUUUGAAUUAAAUUGAAUUUUAAUGUUUAUUAAUUAAUUUUCGAAAUUAAUUAUUUAUUUAUUUAUUUUUCGGAAAUUAAGAUUGAGAUGGCCGACGACCAAAAUCUCGUGUUGAUCAUCGUGGCGCGGUCCGUUUAUUUAAUUGAGUUGUAAUUUGUAUGGAAUUGAUUUAAUUAUGAAUUUUUAGGAUAUAUUCCUAAAUGGUUGUUGUUAAUUAUUUCAUUGAGAAAUUGUUGGGUAUUGAUUAUCGAUAUUGAAAGUGGUCGAGUGGGACUGUAAAGCCAUUGAAUAUCGAAAGUGGUCGAGUGAGACCGUAAAGCCAUUGAGUAUCGAAAGUGGUCGAGUGGGACCAUAAAGCCAUUAAAUAUUGAAUGUUGUCGAGUGGUGGACUGUGUCUUCCACCUUUGCUUAAGAUGUGAUCUGCAGAUCAUAAUUCGCAAAUGGGGAUUGAGAUGGAAUAAUCGAAUCGACCUAGAAAUGGUCCGACUGACAUGUAAUCGACUAAGUCGAUUGAACUGCGAUUUGACUGAGAAUGCAUGGAGAUAUAUGAAGUAUCUAUAUAUAACCUUCAAUUGCAGGUUGAGACUGAUGCCAAGGUACGUCUUCUGCCCCUUGCGUGUAUAGGCAGCCUAUAGUAUAAUGGUUUACUAAUCGAGACUUAGUGGGGUAGAACUCGCUGAGACGUAAUCUCAUCCCAGUUUGGGGAAAUCAUUUCAGGACCCCGUUGAGGAGCUGAGGAGGAGGAGUCUGAGAAGGAUUUUUGGAAGAAGAAGAUAAUCCCAAGAGGGGCCUUGAGUACGGCCCAGAUGGACUGAGAGUUUAUCUUCUUUUGAGAUCUCCUUUUUAAUGUGAAUAUAGUUUAGAGUAAAAAGUUGUGAAGUGCUUUGGUUUGUGUUUUGUAUAAAAGUUUGGUUAUAAGUUUCAAUAUGAAAAAUAUGGCCCUGCUUUUCUAUCCCAUUAUUUUGUUGUCUGGGGAUUUAUAAUUGCUUCCGCAUGUGCUUAAAACUUGAAAGGGUCGGCAAUACAGUCCUGGGAUAUCGCAUUUUAAAAUCGACCAAGUAGAAGGAUGUGUGCGUUCUCGAGGAUCGGGGCGUGACAAUAUGUGUAAAAGAAAGGAAACGGCUUAGUUGGCUGUUUUCAAUCAAAUGAUGGAGUGACGAUUAGCUUAAGACCGUACAUUUUCAACGGAAAGCCACCCCCCUUUUAUGUUUUCUUAUUGCAAGCUUAAAUUGAGAGAUAAAAUCGUAAAAGGGCCCACCAAUCAAUUUUCAUGAAUAUGAUGAAAGGAAAAAUAAAUUAGAUACCAAAAUAUAAAUAAUUACAAGUAAAAAAUAUCAUCACCUACUAAAAAGAAAUUGUUAAUGUCAUUAUAUAGAUCUAUUAAAUUUAAAAGAUGAAAAAACAUUUGAAAUGGUGGCAUCCUUAACUGGUUUCAUUUUUACUCUUUUUUUUUUCCAAGAUUUGUAUGAUUAUUUAUUGUAAGUUCAAAUUGAGAAACAAAUCAAAGUAAUAAUAUUCACACAAUAAGAAACAAAUCCUAUAGUACUAUUCAAAUAAUAAGAAAUAAAUAAAGAAUUCAGCUGCAACUUUUAAAAUAGUGAAUAUUACUCUCUGUCCAAGGAAAAAAAUUAUGUAAAUAUUGUUCCCAAAUAAAAAAAAAGUUAAUAACUCAAAAAAUAGGAAUGUAAUUAUGUUCUUUUUUUUUAUGCAGAAUGUGUAAUUAUCUUGUAUCCUUUGAACUUUUAUUGUUGUAUGAUUUUGUAAUUGAAUAAGUCAUAACUGUGGAGAAAGGUUCAUUAAUCUCUACUUUUCUUAUGGCAAGAAAGUAAGGGGUAUUCAUUGUUGUUGAAUUUUAGUUUGUAUCCAUAUAUUUUAGACAUAGAAUUCUUAAUUUUUCCUUGACAUCUCGUUCAAACGGAUGGAGUUCGAAUUGAAAGCAACUUCGCCAAUGAAAAUAAUGGUGAUAAUGAAGACGAUAUGAUCAAUGCAACCAAAGAUGCUAAUUAUGAAAGCGUCACGAUACCGGACAAGGUGAAAAUCGAACCUCGCAUAGGUAUGAAGUUUAAUUUUUAUGAUGAGGUUUAUGCAUUUUAUAACAAUUAUGCUAAAGAAGCGGGAUUUGGCAUUAGAAUGUUAAAUUUGUACCAAAAAAAAAAAAAAAGUAGCGAUGAAAAAUGUGGUGCAGUACUUUGUUUGCAAUUGUCAAGAGUACAAGAUCGAAAAGGAGUCGGUUAAGUCAAGACCCGGAAAAAAGAUUCGGGUGUCCACCAAUGGUUAGAAUAUAAAUAGUUGGGCCUCAUAAGUGGGAAAUAACAAAAGUUGUACUCAAUUAUAAUCAUUUUACAACUCCUCAAGGCACUAGACUCUUUACAUAAUACGGGAAUAUUGACUCCAGAACAAAAAAGAAAAAUCAAGUUGCAUUGUAAAAUUAUUUAUAUUUUGAUAUCUAAUUUAUUUUUUCUUUCAUCAUAUUCAUGAAAAUUGAUUGUGUUGGCCCUCUUACGAUUUUAUCUCUCAAUUUAAACUUGCAAUAAGAAAAUUAAAAAAAUUAAAAAGGGUAAAAGAUAGGAACUCGUUGAAAAGGUUUGUGCUCCUUAGCUGACCGUUGACGGAAGCUAACUGUCACUCCGUCAACGGUCAGCUAAGCCGUACCCUAAAAGAAAUUAGCAUGCGACAUGAUAAUACAUUUCCAAAUUUACCAAAGAUCCAUGUGUCAUCAAUCAAAAGUUGUCUAUUGACAAGCUCCUCAACCGGAGGCGUUAUCCUACUCAAGCUGGUUGAGGUGCCCGUGGCAAGUAGGUAAGAGGUGUUUCCACCAAUGAGAGUCGUCCUCAGUAAUCCCUUAAUGGGGCAUCCAAUAGGACUGCGUUUCUUUUUCUAACGUAUCAGUGCAUGCAUGCCUCAUGAUCCCAAGUUGCAAGUGAAUAUUUUUCUUCCACACUUUGUGGGGGAAUACCAACGAUUGCAAACCAAAGGUCCAAGUGUCAUCAAUCAAAAUUGGUCCAUUGAAAUUAAUCGUGGGACUUAGACUUGGAUUCAUAUGUGGACGAAGACCCAGCUGCAAGUCUUGGUCUUCUUGUAUUGUAGCCAUGACUCCGUCAACCACGGGCAUCCUCUUAGUAUUUCUUCUAGAAUAAGAAGCUAAUUUCCAAUAAUUAUCGUAUGAAUACGAGUCAAUCCCGUAUAUGCCUUCCAAAAUAGAAAUAAUUACGCUAGGAUUUAUGCUGAGUUGGAUUUAAACUUAUGAAAUUUAUGAUCUUUUUUUUUUCUUUUUUUCCAAGAUUUGUAUGAUUAUUUAUUGUAAGUUCAAAUUGAGAAACAAAUCAAAGUAAUAAUAUUCACACAAUAAGAAACAAAUCCUAUAGUACUAUUCAAAUAAUAAGAAAUAAAUAAAGAAUUCAGCUACAACUUUUAAAAUAGUGAAUAUUAUUCUCUGUCCAAGGAAAAAAAUUAUGUAAAUAUUGUUCCCAAAUAAAAAAAAGUUAAUAACUCAAAAAAUAGGAAUGUAAUUAUGUUCUUUUUUUUAUGCAAAAUGUGUAAUUAUCUUGUAUCCUUUGAACUUUUAUUGUUGUAUGAUUUUGUAAUUGAAUAAGUCAUAACUGUGGAGAAAGGUUCAUUAAUCUCUACUUUUCUUAUGGCAAGAAAGUAAGAGGUAUUCAUUGUUGUUGAAUUUUAGUUUGUAUCCAUAUAUUUUAGACAUAGAAUUCUUAAUUUUUCCUUGACAUCUCGUUCAAACGGAUGGAGUUCGAAUUGAAAGCAACUUCGCCAAUGAAAAUAAUGGUGAUAAUGAAGACGAGAUGAUCAAUGCAAUCGAAGAUGCUAAUUAUGAAAGCGUCACGAUACCGGACAAGGUGAAAAUCGAACCUCGCAUAGGUAUGAAGUUUAAUUUUUAUGAUGAGGUUUAUGCAUUUUAUAACAAUUAUGCUAAAGAAGCGGGAUUUGGCAUUAGAAUGUUAAAUUUGUACACACAAAAAAAAAAAAGUAGCGAUGAAAAAUGUGGUGCAGUACUUUGUUUGCAAUUGUCAAGAGUACAAGAUCGAAAAGGAGUCGGUUAAGUCAAGACCCGGAAAAAAGAUUCGGGUGUCCACCAAUGGUUAGAAUAUAAAUAGUUGGGCCUCAUAAGUGGGAAAUAACAAAAGUUGUGCUCGAUUAUAAUCAUUUUACAACUCCUCAAGGCACUAGACUCUUUACAUAAUACGGGAAUAUUGACUCCAGAACAAAAAAGAAAAAUCAAGUUGCAUUGUAAAAUUAUUUAUAUUUUGAUAUCUAAUUUAUUUUUUCUUUCAUCAUAUUCAUGAAAAUUGAUUGUGUUGGCCCUCUUACGAUUUUAUCUCUCAAUUUAAACUUGCAAUAAGAAAAUUAAAAAAAUUAAAAAGGGUAAAAGAUAGGAACUCGUUGAAAAGGUUUGUGCUCCUUAGCUGACCGUUGACGGAAGCUAACUGUCACUCCGUCAACGGUCAGCUAAGCCGUACCCCAAAAGAAAUUAGCAUGUGACAUGAUAAUACAUUUCCAAAUUUACCAAAGAUCCACGUGUCAUCAAUCAAAAGCUGUCUAUUGACAAGCUCCUCAACCGGGGGCGUUAUCCUACUCAAGCUGGUUGAGGUGCCCGUGGCAAGUAGGUAAGAGGUGUUUCCACCAAUGAGGGUUGUCCUCAGUAAUUCACUAAUGGGGCAUCCAAUAGGAUUGCGUUUCUUUUUCUAACCUAUCGGUCCAUGCACGCCUCAUAACCCCAAGUUGCAAGUGAAUAUUUUUCUUCUGGACUUUGAGGGGAAUACCAACGACUGCAAACCAAAGGUCCAUGUGUCAUCAAUCAAAAGCGGUCUAUUCAAAUUGAUUGUGGGACUUAGACUUGGAUUCAUAUGUGGACGAAGACCCAGCUGCAAGUCUUGGUCUUCUUGUAUUGUAGCCAUGACUCCGUCAACCACGGGCAUCCUCUUAGUAUUUCUUCUAGAAUAAGAAGCUAAUUUCCAAUAAUUAUCAUCUGAAUACGAGUCAAUCCCGUAUAUGCCUUACAAAAUUGAUAUAAUUACGCUAGGAUUUAUGCUGAGUUGGAUUUAAACUUAUGAAAUUUAUGAUCCUAUUGUCCAGUAUAUCAAACUCUUAAGCUGCAUUUGAUAGUGCUCUCGAGAUGGCCAACCCUUGUUUGGCCGGUUGUCGGCCGGCAACCGACUGGAGGAAGGAGAAGAAAAAGAAAAAUGUAAUAAAAUUAUUAAUAAAUUAAAAGAAAUUCUAAGUCACAAAAAUAUAAGAGGUCAUACCAAAUACAUUUCUUUAUCGGGAAUAGAAAUUUUAUGUAGUUACUAAACGCGUUCAAAUACUCUGAAAUUGUUCUGGGGAACAAAAAUAGAGAAAAAUGUUCUUAAAAAAAAUUAUUCCCCAGAAUAGAAACGUUAUCAAAUACACCUUUAGAUUAUGUGGAAACUCUUUUUCCUAUAUGAAUAUAAAGUGCCCAAAAGGAAAAUGAGGAUACAAAAUACUUAGUAGCAAUGUAUAUAUUGAGCCAUAGCCGCUAGGAUGGGGUCCGUUGGUCGCAUCCAGAGCUCGUGAUAUUAAUAUACUGCGAGCAGGCAUAUCUUCCUCACACUUCUCUCUUCAACCAUCUCCCCUGCUCGAUCACUAUGGGAAGAUUAACUACAGCUUUCUCGUUUUCUUUGCUUGCUUCUGUAGCUUUAGGAUUUGUCCUUUUGGUUCAAGCCCAGCAAAAUCCAGGUAUCUCUCUCUCUCUCUCUCUCUCUCUCUCUCUCACACGCACACACACACAGAGGAAGACAAAGCUGGCAAGUUCAUACUUGUGAAGGAAUUAUGAAGGCUUGAUGCGUGUCAUUUCUUUUAUCUCUCGUACUUCUUGUUCUAGGACAAGAGGAUCCGGUUCUCCGGUUCUCUCUCUCUCUCUCUCGGAGAUGGUUUUUGUUAAAAAAAAAUUUGGAUUUGUGCGCUACGGAAGCAUGAUUUUGGUAUUAGUUAUAGUUUUUGGUUUGUAAUGUUGUGUGCAAGUGCAUGGUAUAUUUUGUGGAGGAUGAAUAAUGGACAAAAUAAGAUAAUUGAAGAAUAUAGAACAUGAGAUAUAAGGAAAAAUAAUUUUAUUAGUUGAGCAAACUAAUUUGAUGAAAGUAUAGUGAAGGUCUAAGAUCUCUCAUGGUGGAGGAUUCACCCCACGCGCAAGGUAGAAGUAUUACCUCUCACACACCUCAAAUAAUCAAGUACAAGCCUAUUUAUAGACGUGAGUUCACUGCCAUAUCUACCGACUUUGAGUACAAUAAAAUAAUAUAAAAUUUCAGCUUGCGUUCCUUAGCUUAUGCUCGUGCAGCUUCUUCGGAUCUUUUGGUGGCUUCUCCAUUUUUCUUCAUUUUUCUAAUCUCAGCAGCUUUUGUUGACUUUUCUUUCAAGAUUUCCCAUGCACAAUUUCCCAUGCACAGACUUCUCUAGUUUGUUCUCCUUAAGCCGCUAUUCUUGACUUUUAUCCAAGGUUUCCUACUUGAAUCUUCUCCAACUUGUCUUAUGCUUGCUUGCAUUCCCACGUGAAUGUUAGUAGUUUCUAGAUUUUGUUGAAAAUGGAUCAUUAAUUUCCAACACUCCCCCUUGAUCCAUUUUCGAAAUAAUCCGGACUUGUGUUGUAAAGUCUCAAACAUACCUUGAAAUUUUUCUUGUAAUUUAUCCCAUGCCUUUUAUGUCAUCUUCAUUCCACGAUCCAUUGCUUUCUAUUAUCGAAACACUUGCACUUGCCUUUGAACAUGCAUGACUUUUCAUGUUCCAUAUGUCUCGGGGCAUCAAAAAUGCUCUUAGUUGUAGUUGUCAGCUCGGGCUCUGGCUCUAGCUUUGGUUCUCAUAGGCUCUGGCUCUGGCUCCGGCUUUGAUUCUAGCUCCGGCUCCAGCUCUGACUCUUUUGGCUCUCGCUCCGGCUCUGGCCUUUUUAGUUGAGGAUAGUGAGGACAAACGCCCAUAACCAUCCAAGUAUGGCUAGCUCUAGCUUCAUGGUCCCUUACACCUGGUUCAGUGGGUGCAUCUGACUCUGAUACCAUGUUAAAAAAAUAUUUAGUUUGUGCGCUAUGAAAGCAUGAUUUUGGUAUUAGUUAUAGUUUUUUGUUUGUGAUGUUGUGUGUAAGUACAUGAUAUAUUUUGUGAAGGAUGGACAAGGGACAAGAUAAGAUAAUUGAAUAAUAUAGGACAUGAAAUAUGAGGAAAAAUAGUUUUAUUAGUUGAGCAAACUAAUUUGAUGGAAGUACAGUAGAGGUCUAAGACCUCUCACGAUGGAGGGUUCACCCCCACGCACAAGGUGGAGGUAUUACCUCUCACACGCCUCAAAUGAUUAAGUACAAACCUAUUUAUAGACGUGAGUUCACCGCCAUAUCUACCGACUUUGAGUACAAUAAAAUAAUAUAAAAUUUCAGCUUGCGUUCCUUAGCUUCUGCUCAUGCGGCUUCUUCGGAUCUUCCGGUGGCUUCUCCAUUUUUCUUCAUUUUUCUAAUCUCGGCAGCUUUUGUUGACUUUUCUUUCAAGAUUUCCCAUGCACAAAUUUCCCAGGCACGAGACUUCUCUAGUACGUUCUCCUUCAGCCGCUAUUCUUGACUUUUAUCCAAGGUUUCCUACUUGAAUCUUCUCCAACUUGUCUUAUGCUUGCUUGCAUCCCACGUGGAUGUUAGUAGUUUCUAGAUUUUGUUAAAAAUGGACCACCAAUUUUCAACAGUUUUGAUAUGCCAUGAAAGACCCUCAACAUGUUGCAUGUCUUGAUUGGUUGUCUAGCUCUAGGAGUCAUCGCUCGCAGGCAACAAAAUCUAGGUUCUCUCCCUCGUCUCUCUCGCGUGCGCGCAUGGUGAUGAUUGAAUUGUGAAGAGUUGAGACACAAGGAAACGGUACUCAAGAAAAGGGCACAAUGAGGAUUCAAUGUUUACCUAUAUUUCUUUCCGUUAGCCAUCGACCUUUCAAGCAGAAGACUAAAUGUAGUCGUGCUCCAUUUUGAUUUCAAAAUUGAGCGCCUAGUAUUUAGGCAGAGUACAGGUCAAGAAGCUUUCACGGUUUCAGAGCUACGCAGAGCAAUCUCUUGAGCUAAAAUUUAGCAAUUUAGCAAAGUAAAGGAUGUUCAAGAUUCUCUAGGAGACAUUUACGAAUAUUAGGCUCCGUAUUUUGCUGAAAAUAGAUGAUUUGAAAAUUAUUCUAAAAAUAAUUGCUCGUAUUGCUUGAAAUAAUUAAUCAAUGAAAAAUAUCUUUAUUACCAAUAAUAAUAUAUAUCUAAAUAUUUUCAUAAAAGAUGGAAAUAUUUUUGUUAAUUAUUUUUUAUAAGUAGUAUAAAUGAUCAUUUCAGAAAAUUGUUAUCCAAAUAAUUUAUUGUACUCUAAACAAACGCACCCCCAGUGUAGCAUCCUCGGGCUCAGAUGACAUCUCUGUUUCCAAGCUUUUCACAGGUGCCUUUACCAUCAAAUUGUCCAUCAAAACUUCUUUUUAACUUACAAUUCCCAGCCCAAUUAUUACUGACGUAAUUUUCGUUGCUGAAAUAUCCAUCUAGUUGAUACGGUUGUAAAAAGGUUAGAUAAGAAAAUUUAAGGGACAUCGUAAAGAAUCAAAAAUAAAAUAAAAUUGAGCACUGUUUAUAUUUCAAAUUAAUAAAUAGUGAAGGGUAAGUGACUUUCUCUGAUUUCACCUUGACAUAGGUUUCAUAAGCAUCGAUUGCGGGAUACCUAAAGAUUACUAUGACUAUCAGCUCGAGAUAGACUACAAGGCCGAUGCUGGGUUUGUAGAUUCCGGAACAAACAUGCCGGUGAACACCCAAACCAACUACCAACAACAAUCAAAGAAUCUUAGGAUCUUCCCCACUGGAGAAAGGAAUUGUUACACAUUAAAGCCAAAUGAAGGAAAGGGCAACACAUAUUUGGUCAGGGCUUCAUUUUGGUAUGGGGAUUAUGAUGGCAAGAAUCAAACCCCGGUAUUUGACCUCUACAUUGAUGUGAACUAUUGGACCACGGUGAACUCUUCAUCUUGGAUAUACGAAGAGAUUAUAUACACUCCUUCAAGAGACUAUAUACAAGUUUGCUUGGUGAAUACCAGCUCAGGAGUUCCAUUCUUAUCAGCUCUCGACUUGCGGUUGUUGGAUAAGUCGAUUUACCAAAUCAACUCUGGUGCACUUGUAACCAGAUGGAGAUAUAAUUUAGGGAGCAAUUACACGUACAGGUGAUUUUCUUUGUUAUUUCCCAUGAUAUUUGGAUGUUGACCGCAUUGAUCGAUCAAUAAAUGAUGUGUUAGCGUGUUCACAUUUUACUAAACAUGUGUUUUCGCAUUAUGCAACAGCAUGAACAUUAGAAAACAUGUUAUUCCCAAACCAAUUUGUGUCGACUUGUUCAUCAUCUUGCACUUACUGUUUUGAUCAUUUGAUUGGCAUUGGCAUGAAUAGACAUCCACAAGAUGUAUAUGAUCGCAUCUGGACGGGUCGGACUUAUGAAAAGUUCCAGUCAGUCAGCAACAUGACAGCCAUCGAGACAAGUACAAGUGAUGAUGCCUUUAAAGUUCCACCUGAAGUUUUGAUGACCGCCGUACAAACACAAUCUGUCACUGCUAAUUUGACUCUGCGAUGGUCAUCAAACAACUCUGCUAAUGUUUGGUUUAUGUACUUUCACUUUGUGGAAUUGCAACUGCGAAAGAAAGAUAUCCGAGAACUCACGGUACUUGUACAGAAUAAAGUCGUGAAAACCGUCAUGCUCGAGAACCAAAGGCCGGUGACCUUAAGCUCAUCUCCCAUAGGUGGACCAUCUUUGGACUUGACUAUUAAUGCGACAGACCGCUCUACUCUGCCACCUCUCCUCAAUGCCGUCGAGAUUUUCGCCGAGGCACAACUUCCACUUUCACCAACUUUUCUUGAUGACUGUAUGUAUACAUCUAUGCUCCACUUAUUUAUUUAUUUUUCAAUUCUAUUCGAUUUCCUUAUGAUUGUAGCUCUUUACGUGGUGGUUUAGUCAAUGCUAUGUAUGAUGUCAAGAGAACAUAUGAGGUGAUCGAGGCUAGCUGGCAGGGGGAUCCAUGUGUUCCUAGACAGUACUCAUGGAGCGGACUCCAUUGUAGCAACGAUAGUGCUCCGAGAAUCAUCUCGUUGUAAGUCCAUGACUACAUAUAUUCUCUGAAAACAUGCUGCAUACGAACGUCACAAGUCUCAAAAGAAAAGUUUUCUCAACAACAGCUUAGUACAGAUCAGUAAUACAUCAUGCGACUGAGGAAAUAAUUUCCAAAAUCAAGUCUCUAUAUUAAAGCCUUCCAUGGUAAAAGUUUUAACCAGUGGGAUUUUACUCUUAUAAAGUUAGCUGCGGAUGUGCAGGAACCUGAGCUUUAGUGGACUGAAAGGACGGAUAGAUACAUUGAUCUCCCAUUUGACAGCAGUCGAAUCCCUGUAUGCACAGUAGAAUUUCUUCCAUAUCGUUUACUUAAUUUGCACGGAAAGAGAAUGGAAAACACUAGCCCAAAAAAGCGACAUGCUUCUUUAUCAUUAGCAUGAUGUUCAUUAUCUACCUUAUCCUGUUUUAUGCAUUUUAAUAAGUAUAUGCUUAUGAAGUUUCUUAGUACUUUCUUGGCUUAAUUUCAGGGAUUUAUCCAACAACUCGUUAACUGGGUCCGUACCUGAGUUUUUAUCACAAAUGCCAAGCUUGAAAGUUCUGUGAGUCACUGAGCUUCUAAUGGAAAGAUUAUAUGUAGUUAUCUAUCUCAAGUAAAUGGCUAUCAACUUCUAAUAUGAAUACUAGCAGGAAUUUAAGCGGAAACAACUUGAACGGCUCUGUUCCUCAAACUCUCUUGAAGAAGAAGGCAGAUGGCACGUUGCUACUAAGGUUCGCUCAUUGCCACACUGUUGUAAUAUUACAUUUAAUCGCUUAUUAUUGUCUAUACAGUCUGCUUCUUCUUUCUGUACGUUUCUGCUCACUGAAGAAUGAAAAAGAUGGAAGUGGUACUUGCUAUGAAAAAGAUGGAAGUGGUACUUGCUUUUUUAGCUUUCUGUUUGAUCGAUUUAUGCAUGUAAUACGUACAGAGGGUGGGCUAUCCAUGAAUUCGUGGGCUAAUUUUUCGGCUGUGACAUGUACUAUCGAUGUUCUUUGACAGGUUAGAUGGAAAUCCAAAUCUUUGCCAAUCAGACAAUUGUCCAACCAGCAAUGUGCAGCCGACGAAAAAGGGCAUCUCUGUUGCUCCAAUCAUCGCAUCAGUUGCAGCUGUUCUGGUCUUGAUUUUAUUGGGAGCUCUUGCAGUAUUAUGGAUAAUCAGAAGAAGACAAAUCCAAAGUAACUCUUUUGCAUAUUGCAUGUGCAAGGAAAAUCAAAAGUUUUAUAUGUGAUUUUGUCAGUCCAGGUCGGGUUUUGAACCCCAAACUGGUUUAACUGGUCCAAUUGCUCGUGGCCCUUUCCACAAUUGGGCCUGGGAAAAGUGACCAUGAUACACUGACUUGAUCUCACUCAAGUAAUCACGUUUCUAUGUCAUCACCGUUUCAUGUUCAAAAAACUUGCACACAUUGUUGGUUAAUGAUAUGAUAAUUGCAACAAGGCUUACCCACAAGUCGUGUAAAUAAAAGUCAUUUCUGUGUAUACGUCAUUUGGUUGAGGUAACUUGCUUCACUCUUUCUGGUUUGUUUUCCACGACACAGUCUUUUCUUAUAAUAAGUCAUUACAUACAUCUUCCAGAUAGUUCUGUUUGCAGUGAAGGCAUAUAAUAUCAGACCGAAGAUCAUGACCCGAUAACUCUAUUCAGAUUCCUUAAUUACUUUUUCAUUUCUCCAGACGUUACUACCACUACUACGACUACCAACUCUACUGGAGGAUCUAUUGGGACAUUCAGGUUGUCAAAAAAUCAACCUUUUACACCUACUGAGGUUACAAGAAUUACUGAUGACUUCAGAACAGUAAUCGGAGAGGGAGGAUUUGGGAAAGUUUACUUUGGCAAACUUGAUGAUGGCACUGAAGUCGCAGUAAAAAUAUUAUCUCAAUCAUCAAAGCAAGGCUACAAGGAGUUUCGAGCAGAGGUUCGAAAAUUUAGUGCAACUAGAAUGAAUGUCACGUUUUCAAUUUUUUGGGUGUUCUACUCAUGACAAACUCUGAAACCUUGAGGUGCAGGCGCAACUCCUGAUGGUCGUUCACCAUAAAAAUCUGGUUUCACUCAUUGGAUAUUGCGAAGAAUAUGAAAGCAUGGCGCUGAUAUAUGAAUUCAUGUUCAAUGGAAAUGUUCGGCAACAUUUGUCAGGUUUGCCUGAUAUUUCCUUCUUCAAAUUCUAACUAGAUAAAGCAUUGCUUAGACUCUCACUAUAUGACAGCACGACAUGUGUCAAGUUAUAUUUUAUCUCAACUUUGUUCUUUGAUAAUUCAGGCGUUUGGAUUAAUCAGUCAAGUUAGGUAGUCAUUAAUAGCACAUUGGAAAUAAAAAUUAACUUUCUCAGCGAAUGAAUAAGAUGGUGAACAGGAUUUUAUAUCUUUCGUGAUUGGAAUACUUCCUUAAUCCUCUACUUUCAAGCAGCACAAAACGCGAAUGUUUUAAGUUGGAGCCAGAGACUACAAAUCGCAAUUGAUGCAGCUCAAGGUACAUAAAGUAGAUUGAUGAAAUCUUUGUUCACAUUUCCCCAAGUUGAGCAACACAUGACAUUUCUUUUUCUUUUUUGCCGUUGGUGCAGGGUUGGAGUACCUACAUAAUGGGUGCAAACCCCCCAUUGUCCAUAGGGAUUUAAAGACGCCCAAUAUUUUACUGGACAAAAACAUGCAAGCGAAGAUUGCUGAUUUUGGAUUAUCGAAGGCAUUUGUGACAGAGCUUGAGUCUCAUAUUUCAACUCACCCAGCAGGGACACCUGGUUAUCUCGAUCCAGAGUAAGCAACUCGAACUGACGACUCUGAAUACAAAUACUAUUCAAUUUAGGAAGCAGAAUAAUUGUACUAAUAUAGACCAUCGCGAGAGGCCCAUACGUUUUAUUCAUACAUGUUUAUGUUGAUAUGUAGAUACGUUUUUGAAAGGCAGUUUCAGCUAUUAUUGUACUGAUCAAAGCAACAAUUCCUUUUGAAUCUCAGGUUUCAUUCAUCUGGAAACCGGGGCAAGAAGAGCGAUGUGUACAGCUUUGGUGUAGUUUUAUUCGAGUUAAUCACAGGCCACCCGCCCAUUAUAAAAAGUCCAGAGGGCAGCAGCAUGCACAUACUUCACUGGGUGACUCCACUCAUAGAAAGAGGGGACAUCCAGAGCAUUGUCGAUCCGAGGUUGAAUGGCCAAUUCAGCAUCAAUUCUGCAUGGAAAGCAGUGGAAAUAGCCAUGUCGUGCGUACCAACGAUAGCGGUCCAAAGGCCAGACAUAGACCGUGUUCUGUCGGAACUGAAAGAAUGCUUGACGGCAGAGAUCAGUUCAGGAAGAAGACAAGGAAUGGGAAAUAAUAAGAGACAAAGUGAGUCUUUUAGUAUUACCUUAAUUGACGUUGAUAGCACUCCGAGUGCUCGUUAAACCAUACUUCGUCUAUAAAGGUUAUCAUGUCCACCUUCCUGGUAAAGUUGAUUAUUGGAUCGAACAGAUUAGAAAACUUAUGUACAAAGUCUGCGCUUGUGACUUUAAACUGCGAGUGCUUUAUAUUGUGGUUGUUGCUUUUAUAGCUUUGUGAAUAAAUAAGUGAAUGGUGAGUUCAAUUCACACUUUGGCCCCUCUUUACAAGGCUACCAACUGUACGGCUAUCAAGACGUUGAUAGCUAGCCUUGCUCAGUUAUCCAUGUGAACCCCUGUAUAAUGAAGCAGAGGAAAGAAGAAUUUCUUUCAUUGUGAUACUAUCUGUUUUACAAACCCAGCCAUCUUUUGACAAUCUUUGCCAACCACAACCGCCUAAGUACUAGCCACCUGGCCAUAAUGAGAAGCCCGAAGAGCAGCCCUCACCUCAUCCAAUCGGCGUCGCCUCUGGCCAAGCAAGAGGAUAUAGAGAGCAUCAUGGAUCAGAGGCUACAAGGGCGGUUCAGCACCUCAUCCGCUUGGAAACUAGUCAAGGCAGCAAUGCCGUGCUUGGCCAUGACUGCGAAUGAGAGGCUGGACAUGAAACCGCAUGCUGUGGGAGCUGAAGGAAUGCUCGACUCUUUCUAGGCAAGGUACCUGAUGGACCAAGGAAUUAUGUUCUGCUUCACCCUUCACGAUCGCUGCGGAUUUCCUGAAACUAUGCUUUGGUUUAGCUAUGAUCAAGUAAUUGGCACAGAAAAAAGUGGAAAAUUGAACGUAGCGCAUCAGAAUCGAGUGAUGGUCGCUCAAUUGAGUUGAAUCAUCGCCAUCAAUAUCAGCUCUACCACAAGUAAAAUAACAAAUAAGAAAGUGGAGUGGAACAAAAGAAGAACCUUUCUCGACUCUAGGUUGGCGAGUCAUGGAGAAACAAGAAGGCCUUGAAAAUCGGAGGAAGAGCAAGGUCUCCUGCUUUAUUAAAUAAAAAACUAUAUUGAUAUACCUAAAAUACCAAAACACCUAAAAUAUAUAAUAUCUACAUAUUUAUAUAUUUGGUUUAUAUUAUAAGAUAAAAUUAAAUUCGAAUAUAUAAAUAAAAAUAAGAUUAAAUUUAAAAAACUAAAUUUUAUUUUUUUAUAUUUUGAAUUUCUUAUUUUAGAAUUUAAAUAUUAUUUAUGUUGAAAUACAAUUUUAAAUUUGUUAAUUUAAAAUUUUUAUUAUUUUAAAAUAAUAACUUUCAUUUUUAUAGAAUUAGAAAUCAUAUUCACCUUUAUCACAUUUCCUCCAUGGAAUAAUUUUAUACGGAUCAUUCUUAUAUUCGAUUUUAUCUUAUUUUGAGUAGGCAUCAAACACAUGAUAUAAUAAAUAUUAUUUUAUCCUGAUCGUCAAAACUCAACCUACUAGUGAUUGGAGUAUAAGGUUACAGUUGGCACUGAAAGCUUAUGCGAUGGAGACUACAAAUCUUAAAUUUACUCAUUAUGAAAAAUCUCAAAUGUCAAUGUCACAAAUAUGUCUUAAGUGAAACUGAAAUAAAUAAUAUAUAUAUAUAUAUAUAUAUAUAUAUCAUAUACGUAUAAAUUUACACAAAAAAAUAUUUUUAAUAACACAAAAAUAAAUUUAAGGUAUUUUUUAGCAUAAGUACUUGCCCAAAAGAAAUUUAAAAAAAAAUUGAAAAAUCAAGUAGAAAAAUGGGAGCACAUUCGAGUUAGUCCUCUCUCUUGGCAUUCUCAAUAAGAAUAAUUGUGGCUCAUAUCAAGAGACUCACAUUGUUGAGGUAUAUGACACAUGCGAUUGGUGAGUCGACCUUCCAUUUAUUACUUACCAAAUUAUGAUUUUUUUGUGAUAUUAAUCUAAUUUAACAUAAACUAAUUGAGAGUAAAUUUGUCGCAAAUAUAUCAAUUUAGGAUUUAAAUUAGUUUGGAGUAAAUUUGUCACAAGUGUAUCGAUUUUGGAUUUUUCAUUAUAUCAACAAUUUUCCAAAUGUGCUCCCCAAAACAAUCACCUAACGCUUCAGCAUUUGCCCAAGAUCUUUAGAGCCUUAAAAUCCAUAUCAAAGCCCACCAAAUGCAGCCUCAGCUUGAACUACAUCUUCAGAAUCUUUGCCAUUGUUGUGAUGUUGAGAAGCGGAUAUAUCAUUCAUGAGAAAUCGAGAGGAGGGAUUCAAUAGCAAAGAGCACAAAAUCUGGACGCGUAUUUGGUACAGUCAUCUACAAAGUCACUCGGUAUACUUUUUUUUUAUCAAUCAAAGUCCCCGAACUUCCCACACCAACGGAAAUAAUUAUACCAUGCUACUUUCAUUGCAGGUUCAUUUUCCCCGAUGAAAGGAAGUUCUUAGAAAGUAAAGAAAAGUAUUUAAAAAAAAAAAACGAUAUUGCAAAGUAUAGUGAGAAUAGCUCACUGAAAUUGCCAUACUAAUUGACAUAUCAAAUUUUCAAUUCCAGCCCGAAGAGAGCGACAUGACAGAUGGGCCUCUAAACAUGUGUGCGCCAACUUCAAGAUCCGCUAAAAGUAUGCCACAUCACCUGGUGCACCAAUUUGUGAAACUGUAUUAGUUUAAGUAGCAUUAUUCAUUUUGAGCGGUUCAAAGAGUCUAACUUACAAAUGAAACUUACAAAUGAAGCAAACUCAUUGUACGUAUGGCACACUCAUCUCUUUUUCUUUAUAUUACCAUUAAAACAAAGUGUAGGAUUAAGUGCUUCAAGAAGCCAGGAUCUAAUUGGUGAAAUAUAGAACUGCAGAAAAGAAGAAAACUGUAGAUUUUUGCAAAGAUUGUCAUUGACAAAGAGAGAUUGGCAAGGAAAAAUGAAAACACCUUUGCCUUCACAAAAAUUAUACCAGGGCACCAACCUCAGUUUUCAUAUGAACUCGAAUGCACGCUUAGCAGAGUCGAGAGUAUUAGACAGAAGCAUAGCAAUUGUCACAGGUCCCACACCUCCUGGCACGGGAGUAAUGGCUGAGACAACUUUGAUUGCUUCUUCAUAGCAAACGUCUCCCGUGAUGCGGAAACCUUGAUCAACGCCAGGAUCCUGGACAUUCCAAACUCUUAAUUCAAGUCAAACCCAGAAGAAACACGUAAAGCUUCUCUGACAGUAAAUCGCUCAAAAUGGAAAUGGAGCAGAGCAAGCUAGUUCUUUCAAGCGGGACUGAGGAACUAUCAUUCGUUCUAACCUGUUAAAUGACCACUUCUACCACAGCAGCUACUUAAAUGGGAUCAUCAGCCUUAAUGAGCAUUUAUACAUCAAACCUAACUGGGAGUUGAAGUUCACCUCUGUCAGAGCGAGGACCUUACAGUUCUGAAUCUAUUUGCUAAUUUUAGCGACCAUGAUAGUGACCAUGAAUCAAAGCUUUCAUAGAGAAAUCCUGCAAUGGACUUUCAUCUUCUAAGGCUUUGCCCUUUGUCAAUCCUUGAUUGUUCACUCAUCAUUUCUCUUCUGAAAGACCCACCUUUUUUGAAGCCUUCCCCCUCAAACAUCUCUUUCCUGAGCAUAGUGCAGUGUAUCUACAUAUAUGCAUUGAGUAGAUCACAGAAGCAAGACACCCUGAAACAAUAAAAAACAAAAAGGCAAAGACCACUCUAAUUUUCCAUAGUUACACCUUGGCAGCCUCCAACUAUAGAUCCUACACUCUGCACCCCCAAAUUUCAAGACUUCACAUAAUGUAUCUUGAGAUUUCAAAAAGAGCUAAUCUUUGCACCCUCCAGUUUCCGUACUUUUUUUUAAUGGAGUUAAGCUUUAAGGAAGAAAGUCUAAGCUCAUGACACCUUAUGACACAAAGUGUAGGGUAGAGGUUAUGAGUGCCAACCAAGAGAAAGCUUAGUGUAAUUUUUUCAUUGUCCCUCAUAAAGAGAGUCCUGCCCCUGCUUUUCCAAUUUUUUCAACAGAAAAGAUCGAGACCACAGCAUCCUAUAACCUAUAUCUUACUUAUAAAGGUCAACGCACAUUACAAUGCAAACUUGCAUUCGAAUGAGGCCAUACAGUUUGAUAAUGCCAUUGGUGCUGAACUUUCAGUGUUUCUACCUGAACUUGAUUGGUCCCCAUAUCCACUACAACAGCUCCCGGUUUUAGCCAACUGCCACGGAUUAAAUUGGGUAUCCCCACAUCAGCAAUCACAAUGUCAGCUUCACUUGUAAUCUGUUCUGGAUUUUUGGUGAAAGAAUGUACUGUGCUGACUGUUGCAUGGUGCCUCUACCAGAGGAAUAUAUUAUAAGAGGAUGAUAUUGAGAGCAUCUUAAACAACCAGAAAACAGGCUUACCUGCAAUAGCAAAGAAGUGGGUAAUCCAACAAUCUUGCUUCUCCCGACUACAACAGCUCUCUUUCCCAUGAUUUCCACACCAGACCUCAACAAUAACUCAAUACAACCCUUAGGAGCACAAGGAAUAAAAAGUGGCUCCCUUCCUUUCAUGGCAAGAUUUCCCAUAUUGAGGGGAUGGAAGCCAUCCACGUCUUUCUCUGGGCUCACGAAAUUGACGAUUCUCUCCUCAUCCACAUGCUGGGCAAACAUCACAUUGAGGUGGCAUAAUGGUAAUAUGUCCUUACAAGAUGUGUUAAAUGAAAUAAUGCAGGGUAAUAUGUUGGUGAAAUUUUUCAAGUCAAUGAGGAGCUCUAGUCAUUGCAUCAUCCUCCACAAUGGAAGAUUAAAAGAUAUAGUAUUGAAAAACGAUUAUGUACAGGUUACACCAUUCAAUUACUCUACAGAAUGUGUCGGAACAUGCGAAGGUUCCAUUGGCAACUAUGCAUUAGCAGACUCAUUUGAUACGAAUUACCCAAGAGAUUCAAAAGAGAAAUGGGAAUGAAGGAUAAGUCUAGCUGUAGAAAUUACUUGUGGUAAAGGGAGUUGCACAAUAAUACCAUUAACUGAUGGGUUGUUAUUUAAUCUGGAAACAACACGCAGAACUUCAUCUUCUGUACAUUCUUCAGGAAACUCCUCUACAUAGGUUGUUAUCCCAACUUCUUCACAAGCUUUUAACUUGACACGAAUAAAAGUUCGUGAAUCCCUUCUUCCGCCAACCAACACAAUAGCCAAUCCCGGGGAUUUUACAAUGGUUUCCUUCAUUCUGCAAAUUUCAUUGGCUAUUUCUGCCCUAAUAGCUCUUGCAAUCGACUUCCCAUUUAUUACAUUAGCAGUUUGCCCAUUAGCUGCUUCAAGUAAAAAUCUUAAAACAGGUUAGUGUGCUAUGCAAAAGGUAAAUGAAGCAAGCAAAGAAGAAAGAGAAGUAGUCCCGCUCAAGCACCUUAUAUAGAGCUACAAGACAACAAGCUACCAAAACUCCACAGGUAGAAUAAUCAACCUUACAACUUGGACCGUAUGGAAUUCCUAAUUCUCAAAAGAGUUCUAUAGAAACCAUCCCCAACCAUCUCACUGAAAUCUUUAGUGCUUUUGGAGAGUGACUCUUGUUACGAAAAAGUCCAUCAGAUCCACUGAAGCAUUUUGUGGUCCUUCAUAUGUCAAUGACACAAAAGCAUAGUAAAAAGACGAUUUUCAAACGUAGUCCUACGCUUGCUUUCGCUUCUGCUUUUCCUACAUAUGCACAGAUCAAUUUUAUCCCCAACAAGUUUUAUUUGCAGAAGUCACAAAAGUUACCGAGGAAAGUUGUGUCUCAGCUUCACUCAAGAAGAACCCAACCUUUUUCUAGUACCAAAAAGAAAAACCCGUCAUUUUUUUCGCAGGAUUCAACAACUUAUAGUCGACACUGGAUUCACCAUUCUACUUCAUAGGAUCGCUAAUGAAUCCGAAACACGACGACGACGACGACAGCUACACCUCACGAUCAAAACUACGACGUCGAAAGCCAAAACACCCGAACCCAAAAACCGCUUCAAGGCAAUCAGCAUGCUGCCCAACGAAACAUGGAGAACAAGUCUCCGACAACGGAAAAGCAGAGGCAACGUGCAGAGGACACUCACGUCAACCCUCGAAGCGACCCCAACAGACUCGAGUAACACGCGUUUCACACGCCCGAGAGCAAGUCCAGGCUCAUCGCCGCAGGUGGCAAAAAGGGUGGCG